UUUUAUUCCAGGGAAGGGAAAGGAGGACUGGGAAAUGACACUGGAGGGUCACAACCCUCCAAAGUAAAGAUAAUCUAUCCAGUUCAAAGGAGAAGACCCACAUCAGACAACUUAAAAUGGAACCAGAGCUAUUGUGACUUCUUGUGUUUACAUGCAUGGGAAUAUGUGAAGCGCCACUUAUGGAAGAAUGUACAUCCAGAAACCACACAUAAACAGGAUAUAUUCGUGACAAGACAACCUCCCAAACUGCAAAGCUUUGAGUUGUCUACUGAUGUCAUUGAAAUAUUCUCUGACAAACCUGCUCCCCACAAGGUAUCAUUUCCCACUAUUUUCCAACACUUAUUGCUCUCUCCUCUAGCUGAUUAUCUGUCCCAGACAGUCAUCCUUUAUUCUUCAUACUUCACCAAUAUGACCUGGUAUAAUAGGUACUUUCCUCCCUGUCCCCUCUAUAGCUCCUUUAAACCCUCAUUAGGAUUGUAUUUUAAUUUAAAAAUCUAAGAAUUUUGAUUUUUUGUUUGAGAUUGUAUUUUUAUGAAAAUCCAAGAAUUUUGAUUUUGUUCGAGAAAAUAUCUUCAAGAAAGAAGCUUGAAACUCCUAUAUCCAGAAAAUGAAUUGUUGCAGAAAGUCCACACUACAUCAAGAAGAUCAAGAAUGAAUUUUGAAUAUGGUUGAUUGAACUGAACAUUGAUUGAACAUUUAUUGUAAUUGUAUAUAUGUAUGCCAAAAGGGACUGCCCCUAAUUUGGCUUUCUGUCAAUGCGCCUAGCAAAACAUUGGUUUUGCUUUCUUUUCUUUUCUAUUUCCUCCCUCACUGUUCUAAUUCCUCUUAGAAAAUUGAAUAUUGUGUAUAUCUAUAGUUAGAAGUGCAUUUAGGAUUACAAAAUGAUUAUGUUAAAUGAUCAGUGGGGAGACUAGUCUCCCAAUGAUCAUCAGGGGGAAUUGUAAAUCUUGAAAUUUCUCAGACUUAUGAAUGUUAAAAAUUUCCACAUUGGGGAAUUCUCCAUUGGAACAAUUCCCUACUGGGAACAUUCCCCAUUUAAAAUGUGAGAACUCUACUUGGAUAAGAAAUGGGAGGACCUCUACUCCACACAUACUUAAGACUGCUUUAGGGGAGAAAACUCCUUGCUAAACAAUGAAAGUACUUAGACCCAUACUUAUAAUGAGGCAAGGAGUUCUUUGAGCCAUGCCUGUUUUUAGAAUUAAUACAAUGGGGUGCUAAGUACCUAUUAAAGGUCAGGCAACUUGUAAACUUGCCUAGAGCAAAGAGGUGAAAACUUAUUCAGAAGUUUUUUCUGGUACAAACUUACUAAAGGGAUUAGUCGACCCAGCAGUGUUUUUAGAAUGGAUUGUCCUUUGGAAAACAUCUACUGUGAUUGGUAGAUGUAAGGACUUAGGGGAGGUGACAUAGGAGAAAACCCCCUAUAUAAGAAAAAGCAGAAUCUCUUGAAGUGAAGCUCUUGAGAGAGGCUCUGGAGAAGGGAAGCUCUUGGAGGACAAUCUCUAAGGAGGUCUUGCUGGAGCUCCUCUAAGGGGACUCUGUCCCUCUGGAGGCUCUUGAGAGAGGCCCUUUGAAACAGUCUCUGGCUGGAACUCUCUCUGAGGAGACUCUGUCACUAGAAUCCUUGCUUAGACAGACCUUGUGGUGAGUGAUAAAAAACUGACUGACUGAUCUCUCUCUCUCUUAAGACUCAGGUCUAGGCCAUGUUGGCUUAAGGCCCUUCACACUUAUUCCUUUCUUACUCUUUCUCUCUUUCUUUAAUUCCUCAUUGUAUCAUUAAUUAAAUUCUCUAUAAAACCCAGUUGACUUGGGUAUAUUCAUAAUUGGGAAUAUUUCCCUGGUGACCACCUUAUAUUUGAUUUAAAACCAAGACACUGUAGUGAAACAUAUUUUCUGCAGUCACAAAUUUACUCACCCACUCUUAUAUCUACUAUAAUUUAUAUCUUCCACUAUUUUACUCACUACAGUUUACAAUCUCAACCAUUUUAACUCUUUUAAUCACCACAUUUUACGACCAUAACUAUUUUAAAUAUAACAGAUGUAAGCUCUCUUAGGGGUUAUAUAUGUAUCUCCAGUGCUUAGCAGAAUGUUUGUCACAUAGUUGUUGUUCAGCCUUCAGGGUUUGUUUGUUUUUGUUUUUAUUGAAAAUUUUUAUUUAAUAAAUUUAGAAUAUUUUCCCA
Long non-coding RNA from Monodelphis domestica (gray short-tailed opossum), 2177 nucleotides. The record is from Ensembl. NCBI's taxonomy places the organism in Eukaryota, Metazoa, Chordata, Mammalia, Didelphimorphia, Didelphidae.